UGUUCUUUCAAUAUUUUUUAAAUAAUUGCACAUUUUCGCCAACUUUAAUGGGACAGUAGUUCUGCUGGUUUAUAAUCAACGGGUUGAAUUUUCGUACAUAAAGUGGACAUUUUAUUUAUGCAAAAAUCUUUUAAUUUUUCGGUAUAUGUUUUUACGAUUUUUGGAGAGUAGGUUUGAUAAUUUUGAUACAAUAACCAGGCAGAACAUGAAGAUCGUCCGUUCUGUUUUUUGCAAUAUAAGCUCAAUAAACUGAAAAGGACCUCAAUUCACAACUCCGUACUAAAGAGGCUUUGUGUCGCAAUAGUAAAAUUGUCGGGUUCGCCGAGAACUUUACCACGUUUGCCGUUUUGUUCGCAAGUAACCUGGGCGCCGUGAGAGGAUUGGGAUCUUCACGAGUGCGUGAUUGCCGAAAUUUAGAUAAAAUAGAACAGUUGUGUUUGGAGAAGCAAUCCAAGUCUUUUGUGUCAGGUGUUAUCAGUUACCCAGUGAGUUGAAGUCGAGUCAUAAUAAGCAAGGAUUUCAACGUCACCGAGGAAUGCUGCUGGAAAUCAUCACUCAUCGGAUAAGGUGACUCUCCAACGAGAUGGCCCACGUUUCAGAACUUGGCAGACGGAAAUGCGGGUAGUGAUUCGGAGAAAGCUGUGCCAGGAGUUUCAGAUAAGUCAACAGACUAUACCGCACCAUCUUCAGAAUCACUUUCAAU
Molecule: non-coding RNA, 703 nt
Organism: Styela clava
Lineage: Eukaryota; Metazoa; Chordata; Ascidiacea; Stolidobranchia; Styelidae
Source: RefSeq, a predicted model, not a curated record